GAUUAUGGCUCAGGAUCGAACGCUAGCUACAGGCUUAACACAUGCAAGUCGAGGGGCAGCAUGAGAUUAGCUUGCUAAUCUUGAUGGCGACCGGCGCACGGGUGAGUAACGCGUAUCCAACCUUCCCUAGUAGGGCAUAGCCCGGCGAAAGUCGGAUUAAUACCCUAUGUUCUUCGUAGAGGACAUCUGAAAUGAAGCAAAGAUUUAUCGCUAAGGGAUGGGGAUGCGUCUGAUUAGGUAGUCGGCGGGGUAACGGCCCACCGAGCCUGCGAUCAGUAGGGGUUCUGAGAGGAAGGUCCCCCACAUUGGAACUGAGACACGGUCCAAACUCCUACGGGAGGCAGCAGUGAGGAAUAUUGGUCAAUGGGCGCGAGCCUGAACCAGCCAAGUAGCGUGCAAGGAUGACGGCCCUAUGGGUUGUAAACUGCUUUUAUGCGGGGAUAAAGUGCACCACGUGUGGUGUUUUGUAGGUACCGCAUGAGUAAGGACCGGCUAAUUCCGUGCCAGCCGCUGC
RNAcentral lists this ribosomal RNA (514 nucleotides) under uncultured bacterium. RNAcentral's name for it is "bacterial SSU rRNA". It matches the Rfam family "Bacterial small subunit ribosomal RNA", at positions 15 to 518 of the family's 1533-position model. The record is from RNAcentral.